UCCUAAAAGCGAAGUGCGGAGGACAUUAUGAAUAAAUUUGGGUGAGGUUGUAGCUGGCCCUCUCUGGGCAUGUGCACGCUUUGCUCAUUUCCACUCUCUACACCUCUGUGCACUUUCCAUGGGGUCAGGUCCAAGUUGUGUAACAUGACGAACGACCUUGAUGCCAUGCGUUUUUAAAACACACUGUUUUGUUUCAGAAUGUCUUCAUGUCAUGCGUAAAUGCAUAUAAUACAACUUUCAGCAACGGAUCUCUUGGCUCUCGCAUCGAUGAAGAACGCAGCGAAAUGCGAUAAGUAAUGUGAAUUGCAGAAUUCAGUGAAUCAUCGAAUCUUUGAACGCACCUUGCGCUCCUUGGUAUUCCGAGGAGCAUGCCUGUUUGAGUGUCAUGGUAUUCUCAACUCUUGUACAUUUUGUGCAAGUGUUGGACUUGGAGGUCGUGCUGGACGGGAGAGACUGUCUGGCUCCUCUGAAUUGCAUUAGCUUGAACGUUGCCGAGUAUGAUCUAGCGUGAUAAUUGUCUGCGCUGUUUCGUCCACGGCAUUUGCAAGUUUCAUGCUUCUAAACGUCGAAAGACAAACAUUCUAUGAACAUCUGACCUCAAAUCAGUAGACACCAAGUUU
This 620-nucleotide ribosomal RNA is filed under the name Mycorrhaphium adustum. RNAcentral's name for it is "eukaryotic LSU rRNA". The stretch from base 233 to 386 matches the Rfam family "5.8S ribosomal RNA". The record is from RNAcentral. Lineage: Eukaryota; Fungi; Basidiomycota; Agaricomycetes; Polyporales; Steccherinaceae.